UACAUUGAUUGAACAGCUUCUUACAUCUAUGUAAAGGGCUUUGUCGGCACAUUAAAAUCUUAAUAUUGCCGCAUGAAACAUCCUAUCUCGAUCGAGGUAAUUUUAAUUUCCUUCGUCCUAUGAAAAUUCUCUCGAAGAUUGAUUCCAUGUAUAAUAUAAUAAAUAUUAAAUAUUUUGCAAACUUCCUAUUUAGAAAGGUUCUUGCAGAAGUACUAUCAGCGUAUUAAACAUAUUAUUAUGGAUAAUUUUUCUUCAAGUUAUGCUAUAUAUGUUCUAUUGUCUGGAAAAAUCGGUGAAUUACUGAAGAAAGAUAAAAGGGCACUUGUGUUCCUUAUGUCUUUAGAUGGUCAUAGCGCUUCUUCUGAGGAAAUACUUAUUCUUUAGAUGCUUGAUGAUCACAAAAAACUAGCAAUGUCAUAACUAGAAGAAUAUUAUAGGGAGAUAAGUUAAUUCUAUCACCACUUUUUCUUUGUCUGAUCAAUUCCUAACGCAAUAUGUUUCAGAUUAUUUACUCUUUUCAAAUCGUUCUAUUUUGUGUUCAAUUUAUACUUUUCUUCUGGUGUAGAGUGUCUCUAGGAUUGAUUUACUUAAUGAAGUUUCUCAAUUUGAGGAAUUCUUGAUGUAUUUGUGGAUAUUUUAUUAACAAUUAUAUAUGAAAAGUUGCACGCAGAACGGGAAUUCACAGGUUGUUAUUCAAGCAUGCUAUACGAAAAGGAAUUUUCCUGGUGCAUUGACAAUGGGUAUUCAAAAGUGGUCAUUAAAUAAUACUCUCUGUUGGUAAUUAAUCUUUUAAAUAGCGAAUAUGUGUUCAUGGGUCUAUCUAUUGUUCUACAUUAUAUUAGAAAAAAAUAAUUAAAGGUAUGGACCUUUCAAAAUUGUACAUUGCUUUAGUCAAUGAAAGUAUCGAAAUGUGAAAAACAUUAUUUGAACAAAAUAUAAUCGAUUACAUUAUAAAUUGGAGCGUUAACGGUGCUAACUAUCAUUAUUUUUUCAUGCACAAGCUUUUAAGAAUUACUCCUUCCAUCCUAAUUUAUACUUCUCUGGAAUAAUCUUCUAUCUUUGGAAUAAGCAACAAAAUCCACCAAUGGAACAUUAUUUGGCAAAUUCCCUUUUCACUAUCUUAGAUUAUUAUGUUGGGUAAUUUUAUCUUUAAAUUUUUGUAAAAUAUUUACAUACAUAUAAUUGAUCAUCUUUACAUAUUUACACCAUUUUGAAUUCGAGUUUUAUGUUAAUGUUACAUUAAUUUUUAGCAUUUAAAAGACCGUCAACGUCAAUUUAUCCCUCUUUAAUAUAAAUAAUUGACUGAAGAUAUACGUGCAACGCACGUACAUAAAAACUAGUAUUAUAUUAAAAGUACGAAGGGCCUUAGCGAAAUGUUAUUCGUCUUUUUUACCCCUUAAAAAUUAAUUUCACAUUAGAUAAAUUAGUCAUUUAGUUAUUUUCUUAAUACUUUUAAAUAGACAUUAAAUUAUAUAUUAGAUAAAGCCCUUCACCGACCACCCGUAGCUCUAUUUAUAUAUUUUUAAUACUCCAUGCCUCCAAAUUCUUAUCUCAAAAUCCCUGAAAGGAAGACAUCAAAAGAUCAAUCUACUCGAGGAUUAUUCUGUAUUUUGAAUCAAUCAACCUACACUUUCAACAUGAUCAUAGGUACUAACAUUCAAAUUUUUUUUAAAUGCAAAGAUAACAGGGUUUUGAUUUAAGCCAGAUUGUGUUAUUUGACGUUUAGUUUAGAAACUCAGUUUUGUAGUCUUGUGUGAUUUUCUAAGACUACUUAUUGGGGUGCCUAAUAUAUAUGCUUUGGCUGAUCUCUUAGAUUUUAUUUUGUGGUUCUAUCUUCUGGAGUGGCAAUGGUACUUUUUGUUUAGUGUUUGUUUUAUGGCUUUGAAGAAUUAAAUUUUAAUAAUUUAAAAGUGUUAAGAUAGAGAAAUAGCUCCUAGGGUAUACAUAUUCUUUUUUCUACUUGUGGAUUGUCACGAUUUACUUGUAAUUAAUUAAGAAAAAAAUUUGGUUGGUGUUGCUUAAUGCCAGGAUCUCAUUAUGCUGCUUAGGUUAUGAAAUUUUCUAUACUUGUCAGUUGUAUCUUAUCAUUCAAUUAACAAAAUUUUAUGCAGAAUUACAAUUCUUUUAAGGUUGAAUUAGUAUUACUGUGUUAGUUCGUUGAUAACUAAUUUAGUAUGUUGCAUUCUAUGUUGUUAAAUUGCUAAAUUUAUUUUUUUAUUGCAGCGAGAAGAAAUUGAAGAGGAAGAUAUUACUAUAUUAAUUGAGAAGGUGUUGUCAUUAAUAGGAGAAUAACUAGGAAGUUAGAAGUAAUAACAACUAAUAUGGAAGUAAUUAUCCAUUUUGAUUUAAAAAAUACAACUAUUUCAUAAACGACUAAGUCAGUAAUCUGCUUGUCGUAUAGAAAUACUUUUGAAUUUUUGUAUAUCUUAAGUUAUAGCAAAUUAAUCCAGAUUUCACAUUGUACAUGCACAAAAGAAAAUAUUUUACUAUUAUGAAUUCA
RNAcentral lists this long non-coding RNA (2500 nucleotides) under Nicotiana tabacum (common tobacco). RNAcentral describes it as "long non-coding RNA (NTAB_LNC011727)". The record is from RNAcentral. Lineage: Eukaryota; Viridiplantae; Streptophyta; Magnoliopsida; Solanales; Solanaceae.